CUAGACUGAAUUAAUGCGGUAGCAGGAAGUUGGGUAUAAUUUUCAAUUGCUUUCUGUUUGGUGAAAUUUAUCAUAUGCUCAAUCGACAAGACUCCACAUAUGAACUUACUGAUUACAAGUUUACAACCUGAGAUUAUAUCGACAGCAUCGAUCAUGUUGCCUUCCCAUACACCUUCCCCUCAUAUUGCGCUCAUUCCAUCUGCCGGAAUGGGCCAUCUCACCCCUUUCCUCCGGCUAGCUUCGCUGCUUUUAUCUCGAAACUGUAAUGUCACUCUUGUUACUGCCAAAUCCACUGUGUCUAAUGCAGAAUCUGACCACAUCUCUUUCUUUCUAACCACACAUCCUCGAGUCAAGCAUCUUGAAUUCGAUGUUAUUCCUCUUCACUCCUCCAAUCCAUCUGCCCAAGAUCCUUUCUUGAUUCAAUAUAACGCUAUUAGCCGCUCUGCCCAUCUUCUCCAUCCUUUAUUGUCUUCCUCAUCUCCGCCUCUCUCUGCCAUCUUCUGUGAUUUGCUGGUAGCUAAAAGUGUUGCCCGUAUUUCUGCUGAUCUUCGUAUUCCUUACUAUCUAGUCAUCACCACCUCUGCUAGAUUUCUAUCUUUCAUGCUUCACCUUCCAGUUCUUGUGUCCAAUCCUGAUAAAUUCAAUAGUAGCAUUGUUCAAGUAGAGAUUCCAGGCUUGACUCCAUUUUCUAUAGCAAGUAUUCCUCUACCAUUCCUGAACCCAAAUCAUCUUCUUGCAGCAAGUAUAAUAGCAAAUGUCGGAGUUGUCCCAGAAGCCAAAGGAAUUAUGGUUAACACCUUUGACUGGUUCGAAGCUGAAACGAUUGCUGCUCUAAACAAUGGUAAAGUUUUAAGCAAUCUCCCUCCAGUUAUACCCAUCGGACCAGUACAAGCUUAUGAGCUUCAGAAGGACCAGAGCCCGUACCUGCUAUGGCUUGACGACCAACCAGAAAAAUCUGUAGUUUAUGUGAGUUUCGGAAGCAGGACAGCCAUGUCUAAUGAUCAAAUAAGAGAAUUGGGAUAUGGAUUAGACAAAAGUGGCUGUAGAUUCUUAUGGGUAGUUAAGACAACCAAAGUUGACAAAGAAGAUAAAGCAGGUUUGGAAGAGCUGCUGGGAGAGUCGUUUUUGGAAAGAAUAGAGAAUAGGGGGAUGGUGGUGAAGGGGUGGGUGAAUCAGGACAAGAUUCUAGCUCAUCCUGCUACCGGAGGGUUCAUAAGUCAUUGUGGAUGGAACUCUGUGACUGAAUCAGCUGAACGAGGAGUACCUGUAUUGGCAUGGCCUCUGCAUGGAGAUCAAAGGGUGAAUGCGGAAGUUUUGCAGAAGGCAGGGCUGGGAAUAAUGGAGAAGACAUGGGGUAUGGGGACUGAAAGGUUGGUGAAGCACGAAGAGAUAGGUAAAAAGAUUGUGGAGCUGAUGGAUGAUGCAGAGCUCAGGAACAGAGCCAAGAAGGUUGGGGAAGAAGCUAGGAAAUCUACUGAACUUGGAGGAAGUUCUGAUGAAGCCAUCAUGGAAAUCAUUGAAAAAUUAACCUGAAUUAUGGGUGAAGUUUGGAACCUUUAUCCCUUCCUGGUAUCAAUGUAUGAAGAGGUUCUUCCAAAUGAAUAAAAUAUUAGCAUUAGUUAAUUACUAGAAAAUAUGUUUAUUACCUUUUUUUUCCCAACGAUAAAACAGAAUGCAAGGGCUUAUUGCAAGAGAGAGUUUCUCAGAUCAACUCACACAGAUUGAAACCAAAGAGCAAUUUUAAAUAAGCAAUGUAAUGGGCAACUCAUAUGCACCAUCUGAUAAGUAAUUACACACGGGAACAUGUUUGUUUCUGAGAGGAAUUAAUGGAAGUACAAAAAAGUAAUGGAAGAAUGUGGAUUUUGAUUUUAAUGGGAGAAUCAAAGGAGGCUAAGCAAUAUAAUUUAGGAUAAAAAAUCUGAUGUGCAUUUUGGCUAGAGACUACACUUCACACCAAAAAAAUCAUGACCAAUAGCAUUAGCAAUCAACUGUGAGUAGAGUCUCUUUUAAAGAGCAAACUAUGAGUUAGAAUGUUUCCUUGACCAAAGAGAUGAAAGUGAGCCAGAAAAAUACUGAUAGACAAAUAAUUAACAUAAAAAGAUUAAAUACAGGGCAAAUGAUCCAAAGGGAACUAUAGUGCAAAAUCUAUACAUACCAUUCAAGGAUGCAGGCUUGGCUCAAUUUGUUCUUUGGACAGAAGUGAACAGUGGAUAAAUCUGCUUGCUUGCUUGGAGAUCAUUUCAGUUCAAACUUUCUUGGCCUCCAAGUAUGCGUAAUAUGAUUGUCUUUGUUAUUUUCGUCUCUUACUCCCAGUAAGUAGGCAAAUUCAACGCAGCUGCUCUUGAGGAAGGGCAUUGUCUAUAAAAAAAGUUCAAUUGGUGGUUGCCAUUUUUGACUCUUCUCUACACAUGUGCGCAAAUGCACACACAUAUAUUUAGGCUUAGAGUCUUAGCAUUUUCAGAUCAGAAUUAAUCCAGCUGUUUCUCCCACCAAAGCCAAUAUAAUUAAAAAUGUUAAGUUCCAGUGACCAGAAACUUGCUCACAUAGCUCUCCUCCCAAGUGCAGGCAUGGGUCAUCU
RNAcentral lists this unclassified non-coding RNA (2578 nucleotides) under Hevea brasiliensis (rubber tree). The record is from RNAcentral. Lineage: Eukaryota; Viridiplantae; Streptophyta; Magnoliopsida; Malpighiales; Euphorbiaceae.